RNAcentral lists this long non-coding RNA (1286 nucleotides) under Equus asinus (donkey). RNAcentral describes it as "lncRNA (ENSEASG00005035855.1)". The record is from RNAcentral. Lineage: Eukaryota; Metazoa; Chordata; Mammalia; Perissodactyla; Equidae.
CAGCACCCUCUGCCUCAGCCAACCACUGGUUUGAGGGAUGGGGGCGGAACGGUCCCGGCUGCCCCAGCCAUGCGUCAGCCCCUGUGGGUGCCUCAGCUCUGCCAGGGGACUCAGGCUGCACCUGCCCCCGAGCACCCCCAUCUCUCAGAAACGAAAGCCAGCUCUGGGCCCCGCGAUGUGCCAGGCUCUGCUCUGAGACCCGGUGUGUUGGCUCACUGUACCCUCAGAGGAGGCAGCUGAGGCCCAGAGAGGACCAACAGGCAGUCCAGAAUAACGUCCGUGUUUCCCAGUCUCGCUUACAGCUAGACAUGGUCAGGAGCCUAAUUUCUGGCCAAGAAAGAGAUGUGCACAGUUGCCAGGUCACGCCUUUAAUUGGGAGAGGUGUGUCCCCCGCCUUUUCCCUUCCGGCUGGCUGCAGCAGGGGUGAGAAGCCCGGGACAGCAGCCGCAGCCUCCUAACCGGUCUCCAGUCCAGCGUCCACACAACAGCCGGAGAACUCUUCCCAUGAUGCGGGUGAGAUCAGGGCGCUCCCCUGCCCCAAGCCCUCAGUGACUCUCUGUUGUCUUCAGAACAAAGGGCAGCCUCCUCGAUGAUGGGCAAGGUCUUUUCGUCUCUGGCCCUAAACCGUCUUCCCAGUUUCAUCACUUGCCACUUUUGUCCUCUGCCCUCAUCCCAGAUCAAUCAUCAGGAAAAUCUCAUCCUUCCUUACCUACCUCUUCUUCCCCUGCCUUCCCAGUUCCUCUCCCCACAUCUGGCACUCUCCUACGUAUCCUUCAAGACCCAGCCCAAAGGGCACCUCCUGUGUGAAGCCUUUCCUGACCCUCCUGGCAGAGUGAGCAGCUCCCUCCCUGGUCUGCCGUGGUCGUUGACAGCCCUCUGAGAUAGUGAUAGCCUUUCUGUAUUGUCACAGUCCACAGACACAUUCACCUCUCUAUAAGAGCAGGGACCAAGUCUGGUCAUCUGUUGGUAGUCAGCACCCAGCAUGGGGUCAGGCACCAAGCCAGUGGCAGUCAAGUUCAGUGAGUAAUAAAGGAGAGAGAGGGAAUGUGUGUGUGUCUGUCCCCUGAGCUGGCUGGAGGCCCAGGCCAAGGAGAGAGGGAGGACAUCUAGAAAUAGCCACAUCCCCAGGCCCCAGAUCAGGCCUAGUGCCCAGAUAAACUGACUCUGAGUCAGGGGAUGGUGGCCCAAAAUGGGCGGGCGGAAACUAAGAGGUGUGGCUCAGGCAGCCCAUGGCCCUGCAGCCCUCUGGGGUCUGCUAGCCAAGGCAGAUGGGCCCUGCCUGCCUG